GGGCACGUUAUCGGCAUACUUGGGCGUAAGCGUGUGUAGGCGGUUCGUAAAGAAUGAUGUGAAAUCCCAGGGCUCAACCUUGGAGCUGCAUUUUUAACUGCCGAGCUAGAGUAUGUCAAAAGGGGGUAGAAUUCCACGUGUAGCAGUGAAAUGCGUAGAGAUGUGGAGGAAUACCGAUGGCGAAGGCAACCCCCUGGGAUGAUACUGACGCUCAGACACGAAAGCGUGGGGAGCAAACAGGAUUAGAUACCCUGGUAGUCCACGCCCUAAACGAUGUCAAGCUAACUGUUGGGGCCGUUCCGCUUCAUUAGCGCAGCUAACGCGUGAAGUUGACCGCCUGGGGAGUACGGUCGCAAGAUAAAAACUCACAGGAAUUGACGGGGACCCGCACAAGCGGUGGAUGAUGUGGAUUAAUUCUAUGCAACGCGAAAAACACUUACCUACCCUUGACAUGUCUGGAAAACCGAAGAGAUUUGGCCGUGCUCGCAAGAGAACCGGAACACAGGUGCUGCAUGGGUGUCGUCAGCUCGUGUCGUGAGAUGUUGGGUUAAGUCCCGCAACGAGCGCAACCCUUGUCAUUAGUUGCUACGCAAGAGCACUCUAAUGAGACUGCCGGUGACCAACCGGAGGAAGGUGGGGAUGACGUCAAGACCUCAUGGCCCUUAUGGGUAGGGCUUCAGACGUCAUACAAUGGUCGGGACAAAGAGUCGCCAACCCGCGAGGGGGAGCUAAUCUCAUAAACCCAAUCGUAGUCCGGAUCGCAGUCUGCUACUCUACUGCGUGAAGACGGAAUCGCUAGUAAUCUCGGAUCAGAAUAUCACGGUGAAUAGGUUCCCGGGUCUUGUACACACCGCCCGUCACACCAUGGGAGUGGGUUCACCAGAAGUAGGUAGCCUAACCACAAGGAGGGCGCUACCACGGUGGGAUCAUGACUGGAUGAAGCGUAAGGGUUAACCGAAAAACCCGAAAAUUUGU
Molecule: ribosomal RNA, 975 nt
Filed under: bacterium DR7
Lineage: Bacteria
Description: bacterial SSU rRNA
Rfam family: Bacterial small subunit ribosomal RNA
Source: RNAcentral